GACGUAGGGUGCAAGCGUUGUCCGGAUUUAUUGGGCGUAAAGAGCUCGUAGGCGGCUUGUUGCGUCGACUGUGAAAACUCGGGGCUUAACUCCGGGCCUGCAGUGGGUACGGGCAGACUAGAGUGCGGUAGGGGAGACUGGAAUUCCUGGUGUAGCGGUGAAAUGCGCAGAUAUCAGGAGGAACACCGGUGGCGAAGGCGGGUCUCUGGGCCGUAACUGACGCUGAGGAGCGAAAGCGUGGGGAGCGAACAGG
This 253-nucleotide ribosomal RNA is filed under the name uncultured bacterium. RNAcentral describes it as "partial 16S ribosomal RNA". It matches the Rfam family "Bacterial small subunit ribosomal RNA", at positions 524 to 776 of the family's 1533-position model. The record is from RNAcentral.